CUCCCGUUGAAGCUGGAUUAUGUGAAAUUUUAUCUCCAUUUUUUCAAUAUCUACACAAACUUUGGGUUGACAGAUCAAUCACAUUCUGUUUCUUACAAGUUUAGGUGCAGUGAGAGGUUGGCAACAGUGUCAAGAAUUACCAUUUGAAUCUCUGAGUUUGGUUCAUACAUGCCUCAGGAAGUGGGAACUUAGAAGAUUCUCCAAGUGACUCAGGAAUGUUUGUUUGCAUUCUCCAUAACAGUCACUGGAUCCCUGGUGGGUCACUCAAUGGAGUGAAGAAUUUGAACUCUCAGCUAUUCUCCAACAAUCUCUUCACCAAAUACAGGACAAUCUUCUGUUCUCUGAUAGACAACUGACCAUCUCUGCCACACUGUGAUUAGUGGUGAGGUUAUGACAUUUGAGCUGCUGGGAGCCAUUAUGUCACCAUGAGUGAAGAGCCUGCCAACAGAGCCCAAACAAGGGAAAACAGAACUAAGAGACAGAGAAUACGAAGUCCUGAUGACAUGGUAUGAAGCCUUGGAUCCACCUAUUCCUAAAACUACUCUCUGGACUUUCAACUGCACAGUAAAUUCAAGUAGACAGUAAAUCAUCACUCCCUUAAAACAGUUUGAGAUAAACUUAAAGAAUCAUAAAUAAUAUCUUAGCUGCUGGAUCUUAAAGUAAAUCAUUUAAUUUCUGUAUAUUUCAGUUCCUUAUUCUGUAAAAUUAUACAUAAUUUGUGCUCUGCUAAAAGACUUUAUAGUCUGCUGCGUUAUUCUUUUCUUAUUUUGUCCAUAUUUCCUAUCCUAAUUUAUAUGUUCUCUAGUCCCAAUAUAUGUAUCUUUGCUUGCAUGAACAUGUGCAUGUAUUUAUGUAUUUAUUUUAUGGCUUUCCCGAAGACCACAGCAAAUCCUUUGUGGAAUGAGAUGAAGUAUAGCUAAAUAACCUACAUUUUCUAGCAACUUAUUUUAAAGUAGUCAUUGUAUCCAUUAUAUCUUUGUAUUGAUGUGAUGUUAUAUAUAAGACAUAUAUAUAUCUUAUGUAUAUGUUAUUUAUAUUAUCCUUGGAUACAAAAAUACAAUAAAACCUUGGUUAGAUAAUAAAACCUCAAUUAACUAGGAGGCUUCUAUCUGUGAUGACAGUCAAUCACUUGUUUCAUGUCCACUAAAUAGUGUCAUUUUGAUAGAUGAUUUAAGCAGGGGAACUAAUAUUUUAAAGCAUUACGUAAGCUUUGUUAUAGGUAAUUUGCAUAUGUUGUCCUAUUCAAUUCUCACAAAUCUUCCAAAAUUAUCUUAAUUUUGUAUAUUAUGGAAACCCU
RNAcentral lists this long non-coding RNA (1297 nucleotides) under Equus asinus (donkey). Its description in RNAcentral is "lncRNA (ENSEASG00005031247.1)". Lineage: Eukaryota; Metazoa; Chordata; Mammalia; Perissodactyla; Equidae. The record is from RNAcentral.